CUACGGGAGGCUCCAGUGGGGAAUAUUGCACAAUGGAGGAAACUCUGAUGCAGCAACGCCGCGUGGAGGAUGACACUUUUCGGAGCGUAAACUCCUUUUAUAUAGGAAGAAGAUGACGGUACUAUAUGAGUAAGCGCCGGCUAACUCCGUGCCAGCAGCCGCGGUAAUACGGAGGGCGCAAGCGUUACUCGGAAUCACUGGGCGUAAAGAGCGUGUAGGCGGAUUAAAAAGUCAGAAGUGAAAUCCUAUAGCUUAACUAUAGAACUGCUUCUGAAACUCUUAAUCUAGAAUAUGGGAGAGGUAGAUGGAAUUUCUGGUGUAGGGGUAAAAUCCGUAGAGAUCAGAAGGAAUACCGAUUGCGAAGGCGAUCUACUAGAACAUUAUUGACGCUGAGACGCGAAAGCGUGGGGGGCAAACAGGAUUAGAUACCCCCGUACUC
Molecule: ribosomal RNA, 439 nt
Filed under: uncultured bacterium
Lineage: Bacteria
Description: partial 16S ribosomal RNA
Rfam family: Bacterial small subunit ribosomal RNA
Source: RNAcentral